This 192-nucleotide ribosomal RNA is filed under the name uncultured Thauera sp. Its description in RNAcentral is "partial 16S ribosomal RNA". It matches the Rfam family "Bacterial small subunit ribosomal RNA", at positions 1191 to 1382 of the family's 1533-position model. Lineage: Bacteria; Pseudomonadati; Pseudomonadota; Betaproteobacteria; Rhodocyclales; Zoogloeaceae. The record is from RNAcentral.
CCUCAUGGCCCUUAUGGUAGGGCUUCACACGUCAUACAAUGGUCGGUACAGAGGGUUGCCAAGCCGCGAGGUGGAGCCAAUCCCUUAAAGCCGAUCGUAGUCCGGAUCGUAGUCUGCAACUCGACUACGUGAAGUCGGAAUCGCUAGUAAUCGCAGAUCAGCAUGCUGCGGUGAAUACGUUCCCGGGUCCUU